AUACCAUUAUACCGCAACUAUAUUAUACCACUAUUACCGCUAAAUUAUAUAAUAUUAUAGACUUGCAAUGCCUAUAUUAAUACCCGUACGUAUAGGGGUCGCCAAUUGUCCAGCGUUAUGCCUUUCAAUAGCAGGACGCCCAAAAUACAAUAUUAUACGUCCAGAUUAUUUUUAAACUUGUUUAGGCUCCCUCCAAAAUCCGUUCGAUUCGCCGAUACGAAACAUUUUAUGAUUUAUCUAAACGAACAGAACGAUAAAAACAAUAAUGUAGACAUUACGUUUUCAUAAUUUUUCUUUUUCGACAUUAUUAAAAUACUAAUAUUUAUUUUCAAUUUUGAUCACAGAAAUUUCAGAAUAUCUUAGAAAUGAUAUUAUUAUUAUGUACCUACCUAUACAUAUAAAUUGUACACGAGUAUUGUAUUCGGAUUUAUUUAUUACGAUUGUUUAUUAAAUUAUAUCGUUUAUUUAUGGAAAAAUCGUCGUUUCGCGUACAGUGUGUUUCUUUCGUAAAAGUUGGCAACCCUACUCGUAUAAUACUAAGCAACACAUUGCAAGCAUAAGUACCUACAUUACAUAUUAUAAUAAUAUUAUGAAAGUAUAUAUUAUGUAUAUUAUUAUAAAAUACAUGUUCUGUAUACGUGAUGGCUAAAAUAUCUUAUCACCAAAAAUGUCUGGUUUAGUCCCACCCCCCUCCCCCUCAAAAAAAAACCUAUUAUUUUACAUUCACUAUAUAUAUAUUGUAUGAGAAAAAAUCUAUACUUAUUACUUAUUAGGUACCUAAGUACUUUUGUAUUGAGCAUGACAGUAUGGACGGUAAAAAAUAAUACUAUGGCCUUUUACAAUAUUUUUGCAAAACGUGGAAAGAAAAUAUACUAAUUAAUAUAGGUAUGAAAUAAAACAUUGAGUUUAAUGAUGAAAUAUUCUUAGUGUUUGGAUCUUUUAUUUAUUGUUUUGUUACUAAGUAUUAAAUUUGUCCAACUCCUAUAUAUAUAUAUAUUCAUCCCAUAUAUUUAUAAUACCUAACAUGGUCGCAAUUAUGUUGCGGGGUAAGGGGGUCCAAGGAUACUAAACCCCUCGGGAUAUUCAUUCAAAAGUAGAAAAACGUAAGUAAUCGAAAUGAUAACAUAAUUAUUAUUUAAUAUAGAAGAAAGAAUAACGAAGUAAAAAGGUCAACGAUUUAGUUGGCGUACAAAUUUGAACCUCUCCCCCGAAAUUUGUUAGCCUUGCAUGUACUAUACUACACUACUACUACACUGUACAUCAAUUCAUUAUGUUGUCAUAAAAACAAUAUUGAUUCAAGUAAUGAAAUGUUGUCUAUUCUUCAGAAUAAUAUUCAACCAUCUAACAAUAAUAAUAAUACCACUAGUAAUCAAUAAUUGAUAUCAUACCUAUAGGAAUUAUUAAUAGUCAUCUAUGUAAUUUACGAUUUCGAAAAAUGAUCUUCGUUAUUAUAAUAAUAUACAAUUGCCUAAUAAUAAUUACCUAUAUAGUUUAAGA
This is a non-coding RNA of Cinara cedri, 1497 nucleotides long. Lineage: Eukaryota; Metazoa; Arthropoda; Insecta; Hemiptera; Aphididae. The record is from the annotation of a GenBank genome assembly.